This 1271-nucleotide long non-coding RNA is filed under the name Dromaius novaehollandiae (emu). RNAcentral describes it as "lncRNA (ENSDNVG00000016138.1)". The record is from RNAcentral. Lineage: Eukaryota; Metazoa; Chordata; Aves; Casuariiformes; Dromaiidae.
CCUAUCUUUUGCCUGAGCAUGCCAAGGUGGCAGAUAGGUUUAGAGGUGAAGUGUCAGGGUCCAAGAGUGUGCUGCCCUGGUGUGACAUUUUUGCCUCCAAAAUGACUCUUUCAGGUGACCAAGAUGUCACUGCUGUCCCCCUUUUGGAGAAUGUGAACCUAAGGAAGCAGUGGGAUGAGAAGACCCCUGGGAGCAAUGUGUCUCUCUGGAAAGGGAGCGUUGGACAAGAUGAGGAGUCUGGAAGGGCUGAGGGCCACGCGGAAAGCCGAACUCCAAGGUCGAGGGAGCCUGGGCUGAGUCCGGCAUCUCGUUGGCGUGAGUGCCCUUUUGCAGAGGAGUUGUUGUCAAAUGCCCAGCGCUGAGGUGGGGGAGUCAGGAGAGGUGCGUCCUGGAGCACGUAGCGUGAGGUGAGACUCUUGGGGAAGUGGCUUUGGGUCAGGCUGUGCUCUUGGACGGGUGCGAGGGAGUGGUUUCCCUCGGYGACGUUGCCCGUAUCAGUGCCGGGAGGGUCUGAGCGUGUUCUCCAGGCACUUUGGUCUCCCGGCUGGGUGGSAAGGGCAGAGCAGGCUUUGGUSUGCUGCCCCGGGAGGUCUCAUUGCCGCGUCCGUCUGGUUUCCAGGUGGCAGAUGAGCAAGAGCUGYGCAGUGCAGAGCGACACGCUGCYKCCAGAGCUGUGCAGCUCGCGCACAGAAACGUGYGGGGAGACGGCAGCUCUGCRGAGCCGYSAGGCCUGAGAGGUAACGCGACAGCUACGCCCGCUUUCCAGCRUCCGGGGCCGAGCRAGCAGCGGGACCUGCAGACCUGUGGGAGCAAGGUGACGCCCUGGAAGGGGAGGGAGGGAGCCCACGGGGCUGUGCGAGGGCCAGCAGGAGCGCGGRCUCAGUCCCUGCAGCCCAGGCGGGAGCAGGUGGCCCGUCCUCCUUGUGGGAGCCGUUGUGGAGGUGGCGGUGGGGAGAGCUUCCCUCUCUGGUCCUUGGAGGAGGUGCUGCCAGCGUGCGCCUGCGCGCUCGAGCCCGUCUUCCUCCAGUCCUCUCCGCUGACGUGGAGGGGAGGGGAAAGAGGCUUGGGAAAGGCGGGUYGRCASAGCUGAAGUGUCAGGGUCCAGGAGUGUGCUGCCCUGGUGUGACRUUUUUGCCUCCAAAAUGACUCUUUCAGGUGACYRAGAUGUCACUGCUGUACCACUUUUACRGAAUGUGGACCUAAGGGAACAGUGGGACAAGAAGACCCCCGGGAGCACCGUGUCUCUCUGGAAAGGGAGCGUUGGACAAGAC